RNAcentral lists this small nuclear RNA (107 nucleotides) under Carlito syrichta (Philippine tarsier). The record is from RNAcentral. Lineage: Eukaryota; Metazoa; Chordata; Mammalia; Primates; Tarsiidae.
AUGCUAACUUUCACAGGACAUAUACUAAAAUUGGCACAAUACAGAGAAUAUUAGCAUAGCCUCUACUCAAGGAUGACACACAAAUUAAUGAAAUGCUUUAUAUUUUA